GACGAACGCUGGCGGCGUGCUUAACACAUGCAAGUCGAACGGUAAGGCCCUUUCGGGGGUACACGAGUGGCGAACGGGUGAGUAACACGUGGGUAAUCUGCCCUGCACUCUGGGAUAAGCCUGGGAAACUGGGUCUAAUACCGGAUAUGAGCCUUCAUCGCAUGGUGGGGGUUGGAAAGUUUUUUUCGGUGCAGGAUGUGCCCGCGGCCUAUCAGCUUGUUGGUGGGGUAAUGGCCUACCAAGGCGACGACGGGUAGCCGGCCUGAGAGGGUGAUCGGCCACACUGGGACUGAGACACGGCCCAGACUCCUACGGGAGGCAGCAGUGGGGAAUAUUGCACAAUGGGCGGAAGCCUGAUGCAGCGACGCCGCGUGGGGGAUGACGGUCUUCGGAUUGUAAACCCCUUUCAGUAGGGACGAAGCGCAAGUGACGGUACCUGCAGAAGAAGCACCGGCCAACUACGUGCCAGCAGCCGCGGUAA
This 481-nucleotide ribosomal RNA is filed under the name uncultured bacterium. Its description in RNAcentral is "bacterial SSU rRNA". It matches the Rfam family "Bacterial small subunit ribosomal RNA", at positions 28 to 523 of the family's 1533-position model. The record is from RNAcentral.